GCAAGCCUGAUCCAGCCAUGCCGCGUGUGUGAAGAAGGCCUUCGGGUUGUAAAGCACUUUCAGUGGGGAAGAAAGCCUUGGGGUUAAUUCCCGGGAGGAAGGACAUCACCCACAGAAGAAGCCCCGGGUAAAUUUGUGCCAGCAGCCGCGGUAAUACGGAGGGUGGGAGGGUUAAUUGGAAUUAAUGGGGGUAAAGGGGGGGUUGGGGGUUUGAUAAGCCGGUUGUGAAAGCCCCGGGGUCAACCUGGGAACGGCAUCCGGAAAUGUCAGGUUUGAGUGCAGGAGAGGAAGGUAGAAUUCCCGGUGUAGCGGUGAAAUGUGUAGAGAUNGGGAGGAAUCCCAGUGGGGAAGGGGGCCUUCUGGAUUGACAUUGACGGUGAGGUGGGAAAGGGUGGGUAGCAAACAGGAUUAGAUACCCUGGUAGUUCACGCCGUAAAAGAUGUAGACUAGCCGUUGGGGUCUUUGAGACCUUUGUGGCGCAGUUAACGCGAUAAGUCGNCCG
This 502-nucleotide ribosomal RNA is filed under the name uncultured bacterium. Its description in RNAcentral is "bacterial SSU rRNA". It matches the Rfam family "Bacterial small subunit ribosomal RNA", at positions 377 to 871 of the family's 1533-position model. The record is from RNAcentral.